UUUAUCCUACGGGGGGCAGCAGUGGGGAAUAUUGCACAAUGGGGGAAACCCUGAUGCAGCGACGCCGCGUGAGUGAAGAAGUAUUUCGGUAUGUAAAGCUCUAUCAGCAGGGAAGAAAAUGACGGUACCUGACUAAGAAGCCCCGGCUAACUACGUGCCAGCAGCCGCGGUAAUACGUAGGGGGCAAGUGUUAUCCGGAUUUGCUGGGUGUAAAGGGAGCGUAGGUGGCAUGGUAAGCCAGAAGUGAAAACCC
RNAcentral lists this ribosomal RNA (253 nucleotides) under uncultured bacterium. Its description in RNAcentral is "partial 16S ribosomal RNA". It matches the Rfam family "Bacterial small subunit ribosomal RNA", at positions 333 to 603 of the family's 1533-position model. The record is from RNAcentral.